GACGAACGCUGGCGGCGUGCUUAACACAUGCAAGUCGAACGGAAAGGCCCUUCUUUUGUGGCGUGCUCGAGUGGCGAACGGGUGAGUAACACGUGAGUAACCUUCCCUUUACUUUUGGGUAACUUCAGGUGACUGUGGCUCAUACCGGGUAGAAGCUCCUGCUGCAUGGUGGUGGUUAGCAAGUUUCGGCGGUUGGGGAUGGACUCGCGGCUUAUCAGCUUGUUGGUGGGGUAGUGGCUUACCAAGGCUUUGACGGGUAGCCGGCCUGAGAGGGUGACCGGCCACAUUGGGACUGAGAUACGGCCCAGACUCCUACGGGAGGCAGCAGUGGGGAAUAUUGCACAAUGGGCGGAAGCCUGAUGCAGCAACGCCGCGUGCGGGAUGACGGCCUUCGGGUUGUAAACCGCUUUCGCCUGCGACGAAGCGUGAGUGACGGUAAUGGGUAAAGAAGCACCGGCUAACUACGUG
This 468-nucleotide ribosomal RNA is filed under the name uncultured bacterium. Its description in RNAcentral is "partial 16S ribosomal RNA". It matches the Rfam family "Bacterial small subunit ribosomal RNA", at positions 28 to 507 of the family's 1533-position model. The record is from RNAcentral.